Molecule: ribosomal RNA, 192 nt
Filed under: uncultured bacterium
Lineage: Bacteria
Description: partial 16S ribosomal RNA
Rfam family: Bacterial small subunit ribosomal RNA
Source: RNAcentral
AACUCGACUACAUGAAGCUGGAAUCGCUAGUAAUCGCAGAUCAGAAUGCUGCGGUGAAUACGUUCCCGGGUCUUGUACACACCGCCCGUCACACCAUGGGAGUCGGAUAUGCCCGAAGCCAGUGACCCAACCGUAAGGAGGGAGCUGUCGAAGGUGGAGCCGAUAACUGGGGUGAAGUCGUAACAAGGUAAC